RNAcentral lists this ribosomal RNA (256 nucleotides) under uncultured bacterium. Its description in RNAcentral is "partial 16S ribosomal RNA". It matches the Rfam family "Bacterial small subunit ribosomal RNA", at positions 524 to 776 of the family's 1533-position model. The record is from RNAcentral.
UACGUAGGGUGCGAGCGUUGUCCGGAUUUAUUGGGCGUAAAGGGCUCGUAGGCGGCGUGUCGCGUCGGGAGUGAAAGACCGGGGCUUAACCCCGGUUCUGCUUCCGGUACGGGCAUGCUGGAGUGUGGCAGGGGAGACUGGAAGUUCCUGGUGGUAGCGGUGGGAAUGCGCAGAUAUCAGGAGGAACACCGGUGGCGAAGGCGGGUCUCUGGGCCAUUACUGACGCUGAGGAGCGAAAGCGUGGGGAGCGAACAGG